UUGAAGAUCCAAAUACCAAAUUCACAAUAUGUUGCUUUGGGUGAUAGGAAUCGCAGCGGCUGUUCUACUUCUUUUCAAAUUCUGUGUAUGGACCAUACGAGCAUGUAUAGCAGUGCUAAGAAUAAGACAUGGAAGCUGCACCGUUUCUAGUCAAGAACAUUCUUGGAUCGGGGAUCUGCGAAACGAUCUGUUGAGCAUAUUAUACAGAAAUGGAUUCAUCGUCUCACGACCCUUCGAAUUCCCCGAUCAUCCCGGAGACGACGAUUCUGAGUAGAUUCGAAACCGGACAGCACGAGUUCACGUGUAAAAGAAUCAAGAAACUCUGUUCGGGAAAGUUUCUUUUUUUGUAAUCGAUGCCAAAACCCUAAUUUUUGUUGUA
This is a long non-coding RNA of Tarenaya hassleriana, 379 nucleotides long. RefSeq lists it as uncharacterized. NCBI's taxonomy places the organism in Eukaryota, Viridiplantae, Streptophyta, Magnoliopsida, Brassicales, Cleomaceae. The record is from RefSeq and is a predicted model, not a curated record. The transcript has 2 exons.